Long non-coding RNA from Equus quagga, 943 nucleotides. RefSeq lists it as uncharacterized. The record is from RefSeq and is a predicted model, not a curated record. NCBI's taxonomy places the organism in Eukaryota, Metazoa, Chordata, Mammalia, Perissodactyla, Equidae. The transcript is spliced from 6 exons.
GCACGGAAGGCCCUGCGGCUGCGGAGGAGGCGGCGACUUUAAGGAGAACAGGGAGGAUGCUGUAACGUUCUUGGGAGGGAGAAAGCGGUGCCUGGGGCUUCCGAGAGCGGAGCAGGAUCACUUCAGCAGCGGUGUGAAGGAGGGACCGGAGUUGGCAUGCCCUACAAAUACGCGGCGUGCUUGGCCCCGAGGAGGUUUGAGAACAAGUAGAGGAAAAGAAAAAGACCCUGGGAGACAUCUGUCCUUCGAAGGAAGAGAAAUUUGAAAGGAAAAGCAUGUUUGCCGUUCCUGGUAAAAAAUUAACAUGAAUAGCUCAUCCCAAGGAGAAAUCACUCUGCAUUCUUAACUGACGCCUAAUGACAAUGAUGCUGCUCUUCAGUUGGCCUUCAUCUGAGUCUCCCUGCAGGACGACUUCCCUUCCAGCCACCGCAGAGCCGCUGCUCUGGCGCUCCGGAAGCCUUGCUCCAUGAGGAGUGGUGUGAAUGGUAUUUACCGGCCAAGGAGGGAAGUCCUGCUCAUCUUGGUGAUGGUCCAAGAUCAUUCACGUUGCGGAGUCUUCUGAUAUUAUUUUGUUCCAUUGCCUGUCACAUAGUGUAGAAGAAAGAGAAAGGACUUGGAAAUGGGCAAAGUCUAUUCAGUUCUCACUAUGCAGCUUCCUCAAGAUGUCCUGGGUAGGAAAAGAGAUGCGGCUUUGUUUCAUCGUGCUCUCUUUGCUUUUCAUGGUAAGUGAUUUUUUUACUCUUGACAGGACUGUCUAUAAAUGAACCCAACUGACUUUUCAUUUAUGACAAGGAGAAUUUCCACAAGAGGGGGGAAAAUCCGUCAAUCUGUUUAUUCUUAUUUAAUGAAAGGAAUGGAAUCUGAUUGAAGAGCCAUCACAAAGGGAAUGACAUCAGAGUUCCAGAAUUCUCUGCUUCAUGGUAGAAGUGCUCUGGAACCUGCG